Long non-coding RNA from Bombyx mori (domestic silkworm), 2139 nucleotides. RefSeq lists it as uncharacterized. Lineage: Eukaryota; Metazoa; Arthropoda; Insecta; Lepidoptera; Bombycidae. The record is from RefSeq and is a predicted model, not a curated record. The transcript has 3 exons.
UAAAGUAAAGCACAUUUGUAGCUUUUGUUUUCAUGGCUGGCUUUGUAACAAGGAGUACUGUAAGUCGCAUUGUUCUUAUUACGUUGCGAGGCACGUGUUGUGAUCUACUUAACACUGGGUGGAGCGGGGCUUAACUGUCCAUACAGCAAUUUUUUUAAUAAGAAUGUCUGUUUCAUUCAUGUUUCAUUUUAAUGACAUAAUUUUUUACCUUUAUCAUGCAAGUAUGUAACCAGAUGGACAUUGAACACAUAAAAAUCAUCGGAUUAAGUUUCCAAUGAUUGAAGUAAACAUUGCACAUGCCGUUAUUGUCGUAUAUAUAUAUUUUAGGUGACAACGUUUGAGAAGCGACGCUGUUUGUACUGUAACCACCUAUUUGUACCUAAACAUUCAAUCUGAAGUUAGGCAAAAGAAAAAAAACCUACCUGAUUUCCUGCGAAGUCAGCAGCAUGUGCAAGAUUAAUAAAUUUACAUUAUAAUCUAUAUAUAUAAAUAAAAUUAGAGUGUCUGUUUGUAAUAUUGAAAUAGCCUCUUUUUACUACAGGCAUAUGAAUAUAUUACGGUACAUAGGUACACCAAAAUAACAUUUUUUACAAUUUUUGUCUGUCUGUCUGUUUUUUCCGGCUAAUCUCUGAAACGGCUGGAGCGAUUUUGACGGGACUUUCACUGAUAUGUAGCUGAUGAUAUAAGGAGUAACUUAGGCUACUUUAUUUUAGACUAUUUUCGCCCCGCGGCUUCACUCGCGGUACGAUAAUAACCGCGGGUAACAUCGCGGGACUCAGCUAUCAAUAAUAAAAUUGAAUGUUUCCGAAGCGAAGCGAGGGCGCGUCGCUAGUAGACAAUAUAAAUAGACGUUUGUUAUUUAUUCUCUGAAUAAAGCGACUUACUUUUUAAAAGGCACUUGAGUGCUGUCAGCUGCGCGGAGGUCUGUGAGUCGCGCCGCUACCAUGUUGUAUGCUGUAAUCGUAUAAUUUCUGUGCAUUAACGCGGUGUAGAGCUCGGUCCGUCGUUUCGCCGGAGAACGCGGCCGCCGCCCGCCACCCGACACCCGAUCCUUAUACAUCCAUCACCACCACCCACCAUAUUGUCAACUCUAAGCCUUCAUGCACUCAAAAAUAUCAAUGUAAUAUGUAAAAUGAUGAUACAUGUGAUAUCCGAAGUGCAGGUGUCCGGUCGUCAUGACAAAAAAAAAACACGUGAGUAUUACUUUCAGAGUUUCUAUAUGUAGUUCAGAUAAAGUUUUAUUGUUGAUUUAAAAACCGACGUGCAAUGAAUAUAUGUUAGGUUAAAAUAAUUCGGAAGCAAAACGAAUGUAGAAAAAAAGUCUUAAUUUUGUUUGUAUGUUUCUUCGAUUAAAAGGUAUGUUGUCUUUUGUUUUACAAUAUUGUUUUUCAUUUAUUUUUCAGUGCAUUAAUCAUUAUGACAGUAAAAUAGCAGAUGAAGUGGUGAUGUGAAAAUACACAGCAUUAAAAUGUGUUAUGAGAACAGAAUCUUAUCCGUAUUUGCUUAAAAAAGAUUGGGCUAUUAUAUCAAUAAAUGUUAUAUAUUAUAUCAAAAAAUAUUUCAAGGAUAUUUUCCAAAUAAACGUAUACUAAGCAGAAAUCUUCAACCAGAACAGCAUGCGAGCGCGUUGGAAAAUAAAAUAAACAUGCCAAGCUAUUUUUGAAACAGUCCGUGAAUGGGAAAUGUCCGGGACGGGCGAGCGGCCGCCGCGCGUGUUGGCCUCACCUUUCUCCUGCUUACGCCGUUUACGCUUGUUACAUAUCUUGACGGCACACACGGACAGUAUGAUGGCGACGAUGAAGAACAGAAUCCCACCCACGACACCAGCCGUGAUCGCUUUGUGCUUCACGCGUGCCGGCACCGGGAACCUCACUUCGUCCGAACUCUCGUAGCUGGUCGCCGAGUUCGCGAGUACUCGAAAAUAAUAAGUACGCCCGCCGACUAAGUUCUUAACUGGAAUGCGAGACACAACGGAAUCUACCACCGGAUCGGAAACACGACUCACUGACAAGAUCCGGCGAGAAACUCACUGAGUUGUGUCUGUGGGUUCAUUUACUCGCUGAGCCCUUCGUCGCAAGCGACGGGUUCGACGAGAACAAUGACCGGAGGAACUCAUGAAGCCGCCGCUCACAACAACAU